CCAGACAAUGCUUCAAGCCGUGGUUUUCAAAGUGUCGUUUGGGACCCCUGGAGGUUCAUCGGGCCAAGUUAUUUUAAGACAUCUGUUUCUACAGAUGACACCAGGAAGCUUCCGGACAUCCCCAUUCCAGAGAUGCUGAAACGAGGGGAAGACGUGAAUACAAUGAACACAGUUCUCAAUAAGAAAACUGGACUUUGCAUUAGGGGUUGUAAAUAUCUUUCUCAGGCUGGUACUUCUAUUUUGACUAAUAUUUUUUAUCAUCAAGAACGUUUACAUGUUCAUGUCGUCAAAUGUAUCAUUUUUUUAAAUGUAUGGCGUAUGAAUUUUGUGUCUGGAGCUUCCCACAAAAAUAUUAUAGAAAAAAAGCCCAUACUUCCCAAGGAACGGGUUGUUUUUUUUUUUGUCUUUUUUACUUUUAAAUUUGUGAUCUAGGGUAUAGGACAUAGGGUAUGUGUGUAUGUUGUAUGUUCAGUAGAAUGUCUGAGGUAGAAUUUCAGCUUUUUCUCAAACUACCCAGGUUUUCCACUGUCAUCAUAUACUAUUAAAUUUUCA
Long non-coding RNA from Myotis daubentonii (Daubenton's bat), 552 nucleotides. RefSeq lists it as uncharacterized. The transcript has 2 exons. The record is from RefSeq and is a predicted model, not a curated record. NCBI's taxonomy places the organism in Eukaryota, Metazoa, Chordata, Mammalia, Chiroptera, Vespertilionidae.